GUACAUCCGAGAGUAAUAGUACAGGUCACGAGAAUGUCCGGCCCACAGAUCAUAGUAUUCUGACAAAUUUGGCCCCUGGAAAAAUAUAGUUGAAUAGCCCUCCUGCACAUUAUGCCAUACGAAG
This is a long non-coding RNA of Thalassophryne amazonica, 124 nucleotides long. RefSeq lists it as uncharacterized. Lineage: Eukaryota; Metazoa; Chordata; Actinopteri; Batrachoidiformes; Batrachoididae. The record is from RefSeq and is a predicted model, not a curated record. The transcript is spliced from 4 exons.